This 467-nucleotide ribosomal RNA is filed under the name uncultured bacterium. RNAcentral's name for it is "partial 16S ribosomal RNA". It matches the Rfam family "Bacterial small subunit ribosomal RNA", at positions 28 to 507 of the family's 1533-position model. The record is from RNAcentral.
GACGAACGCUGGCGGCGUGCUUAACACAUGCAAGUCGAACGGAAAGGCCUCUUUCGGGGGGUACUCGAGUGGCGAACGGGUGAGUAACACGUGAGUAACCUGCCCUUGACUUUGGGAUAACUUCAGGAAACUGGGGCUAAUACCGGAUAGGAGCUCCUGCUGCAUGGUGGGGGUUGGAAAGUUUCGGCGGUUGGGGAUGGACUCGCGGCUUAUCAGCUUGUUGGUGGGGUAGUGGCUUACCAAGGCUUUGACGGGUAGCCGGCCUGAGAGGGUGACCGGCAGCAUUGGGGUUGAGAGAAGGCCGGGAGUGCUGCGGGCGGAGGCAGUGGGGGAUGGUGAGGCAUGGGUGAGAGCCUGAUGCAGCGAAGCAGCGUGGGUGAGGAUGGACGUCGGGUUGUAAACAAAGUGCGCCAGGGACGAAGCGUGGAGUGAGGGUAGAUAGUGAAGAAGCACCGGCUAACUACGUG